Molecule: long non-coding RNA, 138 nt
Organism: Sapajus apella (tufted capuchin)
Lineage: Eukaryota; Metazoa; Chordata; Mammalia; Primates; Cebidae
Exons: 3
Source: RefSeq, a predicted model, not a curated record
GAUGUCAUUCUUCUUUAUGGCUGUAUAGCAUUCCAUGGUGUAUAUGUACCACAUUUUCUUUAUCCAAUCUACCAUUGCCAGGCACCUAGGUUGAUACCAUGUCUGCUAUUGUGAAUAGUGUUACAACAAACAUUGGAG